Molecule: non-coding RNA, 24 nt
Filed under: Cricetulus griseus (Chinese hamster)
Lineage: Eukaryota; Metazoa; Chordata; Mammalia; Rodentia; Cricetidae
Source: RNAcentral
CUCACAGAGAUCCACCUGCCUGUU